RNAcentral lists this ribosomal RNA (440 nucleotides) under uncultured bacterium. Its description in RNAcentral is "partial 16S ribosomal RNA". It matches the Rfam family "Bacterial small subunit ribosomal RNA", at positions 338 to 795 of the family's 1533-position model. The record is from RNAcentral.
CCUACGGGAGGCAGCAGUAGGGAAUAUUGCUCAAUGGGGGAAACCCUGAAGCAGCAACGCCGCGUGGAGGAUGAAGGUUUUCGGAUUUUAAACUCCUUUUGUUAGAGAAGAUAAUGACGGUAUCUAACGAAUAAGCACCGGCUAACUCCGUGCCAGCAGCCGCGGUAACACGGAGGGUGCAAGCGUUAGUCGGAAUCACUGGGCGUAAAGAGCGCGUAGGCGGGUUAGCAAGUCAGAUGUGAAAUCCUAUGGCUUAACCAUAGAACUGCAUUUGAAACUGUUAGUCUAGAGUAUGGGAGAGGUAGGUGGAAUGCUUGGUGUAGGGGUAAAAUCCGUAGAGAUCAAGAGGAAUACUCAUUGCGAAGGCGACCUGCUAGAACAUAACUGACGCUGAUGCGCGAAAGCGUGGGGAGCAAACAGGAUUAGAUACCCCUGUAGUC